UGUUCGGACUUGUUUACGGAAAAGAAGAAAACUAUUUUCAGACUACUCCUGGAAGUUUUCCUCUAUUUGCUAGUCAUUUGUGAAUUUUUUUCGCUUUGAUUGUGAUUAUGUAGAGAACCUAGACACGCCUCAACUGGAGGCUUCUGUGUAUACUUGGGUGAAAACUUAAUAUCGUGGAGUUCGAAGAAACAGAAAACAGUUUUCAGGUCUAGCACUGAAGCUGAAUAUAGGCAGCUUGCAUACACCGCCGCUGAGUUGCCCUGGUUAUGUUCGUUGUUUAGGGAUGUACAUUAGAAUCUUCUAAGGGAGAAGGUGAUUAGAGGUGAGCUACUGGUGAAUUUUAUUUGUUCACAAGAUCAAAUUGCUGAUUUAUUCACGAAGGGUUAUCUUCAUCUCGAUUUAAACUGCUGGUGUCCAAGCUUCCAGUUGGGCUACAAUCUGUCAGCUUGCCCGGGGAUGUUAGACCAAGUCAGACUUCUAAUUUCCAAUCAUACUCUCAGCUUGCCCGGGGAUUAUUUGAAUAUUUCUUAGCUGAGUUAAUUAGUAUGAUUUGCUUUUGACAAAUAAAAAAAAUAAAAAAAAAGUAUGAUUUGCUGUUUUAAAGUUUAAACUUCAAAACUACCGUGUAAAAAGGGUUUUAAAAAAAUUAGUAUGAUUUGCUGUUCUAAGUUUUA
Molecule: non-coding RNA, 674 nt
Organism: Malus domestica (apple)
Lineage: Eukaryota; Viridiplantae; Streptophyta; Magnoliopsida; Rosales; Rosaceae
Source: RefSeq, a predicted model, not a curated record